CGCCCAGUGCCGCCCGGGGAACCGCGGUCCUGGACGCCGGGCGCCGGCGCCUCCCGGACUCCUGCGGCGCCACGCUGGCGGAAGCCUGCAGCGCCAGGGCCGCGGCCAGGAGCUCCCCCCACCCCGACCCCCCAAGAGCCGGGCGCUUAAAGUCGCCCAUCGGUGUAACAGCCGGGCUGCGUUACCUCCGCGGCGUCCUCGCAAAAAGGCUCGGCUCACCGCCUGAAAGGCCGAAGCCGGGAGUUUUAUGAGUUCCCUAUAGUCAGCUGUGACCUGGAAGCAUAUGACCCUCCUUCCAACUCAUCAUGAGGUCAACAGUAGCUUCAUGCUGCAUCACAACGCCUACGUCAUUCACCUCACUUCAUCUCAUCACUAGGCAUUUAUCAUCUCAUAUUAUCACAAAAGGAAGGAUACCCAGGAAGACUGACGACCAAGAUCUCAUGGGAAAACAGAAAUUGUGAGCCUCCAAGGCAGAACGCGGGAAUGCAAAACUAGCCCAGGGCCUAAGGCAGCUCCACCUACCAAGUUCUUGAUUGCUUUUUCAGCAGACCACACUUCCGCUAGGCAAGUAACUCAUCCUUUCCCUCUCUCCUUCCUCUUUCUCUUCUGCUUUUGCUAUUUUUUCCUGUAUGGGUCAAUUCGGGGAGAGAAUCUGACUGGACUAAUAUGGCCACUGUUGGUCCUGCGGCACAGCUUAACUAGAACCCCAGAUUUGUGCUUAGAGAGCCCCCUUGUGGCCGCUCUCCUAUGUAGGAGGCUUACGGGCGGACUGGGUAGUGAACCUUUUGGAAAUAGUCCUUUUGUUUAAAAAAACAUCCUUGAUCAAAAUUUCCUCUAUAAACACCAUUUGUUUUCCUGAACAUAAAAGCAAUACCUGUUUGUUUUAGAAAAUUUAGGAAACUAUGGAGAAGAAAAAAAUUAAAAUGAUCACUUAAUUUUGGUGUAUUUUUUUUGAGUUAAAUAUGCAUGUAUAUAUGCAUACCUACAUGCAUAUAUGAAACAUGUACAAGAUUUAGAAUGAUACACAUUACAUUCCUUUAAAUUUGUGGUGUAAGAUUUUUCCUAAGUCACACACACAAGAAGAUCUUCAAAAACACCCUUGCUAAUGGCUUCCUCAUCUUCCAACAAGAGAUGAGCCGUCAUCGGCUGCUUCACCAUUGUAGGACAGUUGUUAAUUUUAGCCAGACUUUCUCUGUAUGAAAAUGUAGGCAAGGCGGCUGUGGGGGACGGUUCAGUGUGCUGUGAUUCGGGGCUCUCACCCCCAGGCCUGACUGAGGUGACAGAGCUGGCUUCUGUGUCCAGGCCAGCCCUGGCAGUCCGGACUCCCAUCUGCAGGAACAGAAGCUCAAAGAGGGAGAAGACCUGGCCUGGGGAUUUUUUCGCACACGUUUAUGGGAGGGAGUUGGUGGUAAAGGGUUACAGGAUUAGAGAGCUAAGCUGAAGGGCCGCACCUGGAGGCAGUCCUGCGCACGGAAUUUACAACAGGAGCCUGGGAGUCGUAUAAAUGAGUAAUGCUUCAUGAUGCUCUUUUCCAAGCGAGCUGCAAAAAUUGGCAGGGGCCCUUCAGUGUGCUGUCGAUGUGUCUGGAAUUCAAAUAAUUUGAUUCUGAGAUACAAUGACAAUGGGAAGCAAGGCAUUACCUUGAGAGAAUGAUGGCCGAGACAGCCGCUGCGACCAAUAUUCAUGGAAGAUGCUGUACUAACAACUGUUCUCCAUUUGCCGUCCUCCCUGAAAUCUCUAUCAUGCCUCAUUGCUGUUGCUAUUGCCCUGACUCAAGGGCAUUAAAUUAAAAAGUAAUGUAGCUGGUAA
Molecule: long non-coding RNA, 1809 nt
Organism: Neofelis nebulosa (Clouded leopard)
Lineage: Eukaryota; Metazoa; Chordata; Mammalia; Carnivora; Felidae
Exons: 3
Source: RefSeq, a predicted model, not a curated record